This 562-nucleotide ribosomal RNA is filed under the name Hastula solida. Its description in RNAcentral is "partial 12S ribosomal RNA". Lineage: Eukaryota; Metazoa; Mollusca; Gastropoda; Neogastropoda; Terebridae. The record is from RNAcentral.
AGACCAAGGGGUUGAGUCAUUCUGGUUAUGGUUAAAAGGCAGUUAGGUUUAAUGCUGAUUUUAAGAAAACUGGGCUGUUUAAUGUUAUGUAUAGAAGUAAAAUUCAAAUAUAGUUGCAUGAUUUUUUAGUAGCUCCUUCACUGAACCUGCGAAAUUCUUGAGGGAAACUGGGAUUAGGUACCCCAUUAUUCUUGAAGGUAAAUUGCAUUUGCUACCUGAGUACUAUGAACGAACAAAGAUUUAAAACUCAAAGGACUUGGCGGUGUCUUAGACCGUUUAGGGGAACCUGUCUCGUAAUCGAUAGUCCACGUUAUACCUGACCUUUUUUUGUUAUCAGUUUGUAUACCGUUGUCGUCAGGUAACUUUUUAGAAAAGGGAAGUUAGCAAGUAGAAAGAAAUUAUUUAGUACGUCAAAUCAAGGUGCAGCUAAUAGAAAGGGGAGGAUGGGUUACAGUUAUUUAUUUAUAAUUUUACGGAUGCAAUUAUAGAAAUAUUUUGUUUAAGGAGGACUUAAAAGUAAAUUGAAAUAUAAAAGUAAUUUGAAUUAGGCUCUGAGACGUGU